AACAGGAUUAGAUACCCUGGUAGUCCACGCUGUAAACGAUGUCGACUUGGAGGUUGUGCCCUUGAGGCGUGGCUUCCGGAGCUAACGCGUUAAGUCGACCGCCUGGGGAGUACGGCCGCAAGGUUAAAACUCAAAUGAAUUGACGGGGGCCCGCACAAGCGGUGGAGCAUGUGGUUUAAUUCGAUGCAACGCGAAGAACCUUACCUACUCUUGACAUCCAGAGAAUUUGCUAGAGAUAGCUUAGUGCCUUCGGGAACUCUGAGACAGGUGCUGCAUGGCUGUCGUCAGCUCGUGUUGUGAAAUGUUGGGUUAAGUCCCGCAACGAGCGCAACCCUUAUCCUUUGUUGCCAGCACGUAAUGGUGGGAACUCAAAGGAGACUGCCGGUGAUAAACCGGAGGAAGGUGGGGAUGACGUCAAGUCAUCAUGGCCCUUACGAGUAGGGCUACACACGUGCUACAAUGGCAUAUACAAAGGGAAGCGAACUCGCGAGAGCAAGCGGACCUCAUAAAGUAUGUCGUAGUCCGGAUUGGAGUCUGCAACUCGACUCCAUGAAGUCGGAAUCGCCAGUAAUCGUAGAUCAGAAUGCUACGGUGAAUACGUUCCCGGGCCUUGUACACACCGCCCGUCACACCAUGGGAGUGGGUUGCAAAAGAAGUAGGUAGCUUAACCUUCGGGAGGGCGCUUACCACUUUGUGAUUCAUGACUGGGGUGAAGUCGUAACAAGGUAACC
Molecule: ribosomal RNA, 731 nt
Filed under: uncultured bacterium
Lineage: Bacteria
Description: bacterial SSU rRNA
Rfam family: Bacterial small subunit ribosomal RNA
Source: RNAcentral